AGCAGCCGCGGUAAUUCCAGCUCCAAUAGCGUAUAUUAAAGUUGUUGCAGUUAAAAAGCUCGUAGUUGAAUUUCGAGAUCAAAUUGUUGGUCGUGCCUCGGUACGUACUGGCAUUAUUGAUUUCUCCCUUCUGAAGAACCUUGAUGUCAUUAAUUUGGUGUCUUGGGGAAUCAGGACCGUUACUUUGAAAAAAUUAGAGUGUUUAAAGCAGGCUCACGCUUGAAUACAUUAGCAUGGAAUAAUGAAAUAGGACGUUCGAUUCUAUUUUGUUGGUUUCUAGGAUCGACGUAAUGAUUAAUAGGGAUAGUUGGGGGCAUUAGUAUUCAAUUGUCAGAGGUGAAAUUCUUGGAUUUAUUGAAGACUAACUACUGCGAAAGCAUUUGCCAAGGAUGUUUUCAUUAAUCAAGAACGAAAGUUAGGGGAUCGAAGACGAUCAGAUACCGUCGUAGUCUUAACCAUAAACUAUGCCGACUAGGGAUCGGAUGAUGUUAAUUUUUAANGUA
This 503-nucleotide ribosomal RNA is filed under the name uncultured Glomus. RNAcentral's name for it is "SSU rRNA". It matches the Rfam family "Eukaryotic small subunit ribosomal RNA", at positions 569 to 1078 of the family's 1831-position model. The record is from RNAcentral. Lineage: Eukaryota; Fungi; Glomeromycota; Glomeromycetes; Glomerales; Glomeraceae.